Molecule: transfer RNA, 77 nt
Filed under: Candidatus Pelagibacter sp.
Lineage: Bacteria; Pseudomonadati; Pseudomonadota; Alphaproteobacteria; Candidatus Pelagibacterales; Candidatus Pelagibacteraceae
Description: tRNA-Ile
Rfam family: tRNA
About the family: Transfer RNA (tRNA) molecules are approximately 80 nucleotides in length. Their secondary structure includes four short double-helical elements and three loops (D, anti-codon, and T loops).
Source: RNAcentral
GGGCCUGUAGCUCAGUUGGUUAGAGCAGUACACUCAUAAUGUAUUGGUCCCAGGUUCGAGUCCUGGUGGGCCCCCCA